GCCCCCAUAGCUCAGUGGAUUAGAGCAAAAGGUUUCUACCCUUCAGGUCGCGGGUUCGAAUCCUGCUGGGGGCACC
This 76-nucleotide transfer RNA is filed under the name Corynebacterium occultum. Its description in RNAcentral is "Corynebacterium sp. 2039 tRNA-Arg". It matches the Rfam family "tRNA". From Rfam's summary of the family: Transfer RNA (tRNA) molecules are approximately 80 nucleotides in length. Lineage: Bacteria; Bacillati; Actinomycetota; Actinomycetes; Mycobacteriales; Corynebacteriaceae. The record is from RNAcentral.